GUGGGAUAUUGCUGGGAGCUUCUGGGGUUUUCCUGGGAGGGGUGGGGGGUGUUUUUUUUUUCUUUGUGACAGCCACUGAGAGGAUGGUGUGAUGUUCCUGGAUUGCUUUAUUAGGUGCAGAUUUGUGUGGGCUUCUGUGCCAUUUUGGAGGUGAGGUUCUUAGCCCAGCCAUGCUGCUGCUGGAGAUGAGAAGCAAUCUGUGGGCCUAAUUAUGGAAAAGAAAAAGGCUGAGUUGAGUUCUGCUUGAUUUUUCUGUUGUUUUCUUGUCUCCUGUUACAGGGUGAAGCCUGCAGUGAGGUGUUCUGCCGCAGGAAUUAGCCCAGUCCUGUGAGAAUCUUCUUCUGAGAGUGGAAGAAGGUGUCUGAGUGCUGGGGACCCUUCUCGUACACGGGAGCUGUAGCUGGGGUGUGCCCUGCACUGUGGCUAGGUUCCCACUUUGCUCCUUCCAGGCCCAUGUGGGGCUGCUUCUUGGCUUCCUUGCUUAUUAGUGCUGCCAUGCUCAAUGCAGUGAGCAGCUCUGGCAGCUGUGACCCUGUGGAGUUAGGUGAAGUCUGCAGCAACAAUUAGCCCACACUUGUGAGAAUCCUUUCUCCAGUGUGGGAAGUGCCACAUGCCGGACCCCAUUGCAGGGUGAGUGUGGGCUGUGGAAGUGUUUCUUACUGGCUCAAAGCAGUGUGCAGCUCUGGCUCUGUGGAGGUGGUAAUGCAGGAUCUGUGCUGCAGCCCUUCUCCCUUCAAGUUCUAGGGAUGAGCAGGAUGAGGCUGUGUCCUGUUGUUCAGGCAGGUACGAACAUAAGAGGCAAGAGUAAGAUUUCCUUAUUUCAUGGUCUGCGCUUUAUUAAUUUUACUGUGUUGCAGGGUGAAGGCUGCAGUGGGGCAACUGGUGGUGAGGAUCAGCCUUUGUGUGUGAGUGGUUUCCUCUGAGUUGGGACUAUAGAGGACGUCUUCCUGCACCAGAGUAUUAUCCUGGUAAAGAGCAGACAACGCGACUCUGGAAGGCUUUCUGUCAGAGGCUGGGUGCUCGGAUUUGCU
RNAcentral lists this long non-coding RNA (1031 nucleotides) under Numida meleagris (helmeted guineafowl). RNAcentral's name for it is "lncRNA (ENSNMEG00000000527.1)". The record is from RNAcentral. Lineage: Eukaryota; Metazoa; Chordata; Aves; Galliformes; Numididae.